RNAcentral lists this transfer RNA (67 nucleotides) under Sargocentron spiniferum (sabre squirrelfish). RNAcentral's name for it is "tRNA-Cys". RNAcentral also lists the same sequence under 5 other names. Lineage: Eukaryota; Metazoa; Chordata; Actinopteri; Holocentriformes; Holocentridae. The record is from RNAcentral.
AGCCCUGAGGUGUAUAUCAUGUCAGAUUGCAAAUCUGAAGAAGCAGACUAAUCGUCUGCCGGGGCUU